Molecule: ribosomal RNA, 483 nt
Filed under: uncultured bacterium
Lineage: Bacteria
Description: bacterial SSU rRNA
Rfam family: Bacterial small subunit ribosomal RNA
Source: RNAcentral
AGAGUUUGAUUAUGGCUCAGGAUGAAUGCUGGCGGCAUGCCUAAUACAUGCAAGUCGAGCGGUAACAGGACUAGCUUGCUAGUUGCUGACGAGCGGCGGACGGCUGAGUAACGCAUGGGAACGCACCCCAAACUGAGGGAUAACUAGUCGAAAGAUUAGCUAAUACCGCAUGUGAUCUUCGGAUUAAAGCCUUCGGGCGGUUUGGGAGCGGCCUGUGUACGAUUAGCUAGUUGGUGAGGUGAUGGCUCACCAAGGCGACGAUCGUUAGAUGGUUUGAGAGGAUGAUCAUCCAGACUGGAACUGAGACACGGUCCAGACUCCUACGGGAGGCAGCAGUAGGGAAUCUUUCACAAUGGGCGAAAGCCUGAUGGAAGCAAUGCCGCGUGCAAGACGAAGGCCUUCGGGUUGUAAACUGCUUUUAUAAGCGAGGAAUAUGACGGUAACUUAUGAAUAAGGAUCGGCUAACUGCGUGCCAGCCGCGGC